Long non-coding RNA from Haplochromis burtoni (Burton's mouthbrooder), 481 nucleotides. RefSeq lists it as uncharacterized. Lineage: Eukaryota; Metazoa; Chordata; Actinopteri; Cichliformes; Cichlidae. The transcript is spliced from 3 exons. The record is from RefSeq and is a predicted model, not a curated record.
AAGUAAUAGGUAAUUAUAUCAACAAUAGCUACAACUGAGCAAUAUUAAAUUGAAAUUUAUGGAUCUUAUUCCCAUAGUGCUUGAAACUAAUAGUGUAAAUUUAAUGUAAUGGGGAAGGCUUUAGGACCUGGAAGAUUUAGGGGAGAGUUUAAAUCGGAACUGGUAGUGAGCUCACUUUUUCUCUCUCCCACAAAACACGUAAGCAAAAUAGUGGCUAGAUUUGUGGUGUGCAGAGACGCUAAGAAAUUGUUGGAGUGCUAAAAUAAAGCAGUAAAGAUUCCUUUCAUGCCAGGAUCAAAUUCCCAUUCAACAGAGAGUAUUGUGUAACAUCACACCAGCCAAGCUGCAUAACAGGAGUCCGAUACCAUGUACAAAAUGUCUGGAUUUGGACAUGUUAUCCUGUGCUACUAUAUUCUAGGUAUGGCAAUUUCUAAGAACAGAUUAAUGGAACACUUUUUAAUCACAGUAUAGCAUCAAGCCU